Molecule: transfer RNA, 73 nt
Filed under: Angiostrongylus costaricensis
Lineage: Eukaryota; Metazoa; Nematoda; Chromadorea; Rhabditida; Metastrongylidae
Rfam family: tRNA
About the family: Transfer RNA (tRNA) molecules are approximately 80 nucleotides in length.
Source: Rfam by way of RNAcentral
GAACUCGUGGUGUACUGGUUACCACAUCUGGCUCACCCACAGAAGGUGGGCUGUUCGAAUCCGCCCGUGAUCA